GCGGGAGUAGCUCAGUGGUAGAGCAUCAGCUUCCCAAGCUGAAGGUCGCGGGUUCGAUCCCCGUCUCCCGCU
RNAcentral lists this transfer RNA (72 nucleotides) under Salinibacter ruber. Its description in RNAcentral is "tRNA-Gly". It matches the Rfam family "tRNA". From Rfam's summary of the family: Transfer RNA (tRNA) molecules are approximately 80 nucleotides in length. Their secondary structure includes four short double-helical elements and three loops (D, anti-codon, and T loops). Lineage: Bacteria; Pseudomonadati; Rhodothermota; Rhodothermia; Rhodothermales; Salinibacteraceae. The record is from RNAcentral. RNAcentral also lists the same sequence under 1 other name.